GUAAGUAGGAGGGACAGUUACUUUUCUGCUAAAAUUUCCAGCUGGAAUUGAAACGAAGGAAUAGUUCGGUUCUUUCUGGAAACAAACUCAACUCUACAAUGAUGGAUUUUCAACCACUCUUUGUAAAUUGUGCUCACUAGAAAAUGAAACUUGCAGACAGAAACUCUGCUUUUGUCAUUGAGAUUGAUUUAAGGCCGGACUCCGCUGAGGGUGACACAUUCCAAGUCUUUGGAUUCAGUAUCUGUCUUCAUAGAAGGCAGCUGAGAAAUAAGUCAAAUAAGUCCUGAAAAAGAUAUGGAAUGGAUUGUUGUUGCAGAUUUUGAAGAAAAGUACUCUGUAAAUCCUUCAAAUUCUGGUCUUCUGCAGAAAAGCAACAUUAACUGGAGGAAAAAAAAAUAAAAAACCACACAGACAAAAUUUCAGAGCGGAAAAAAAAGCAAGCAGGAGAUUAUUGUGCAUUUGUUCUUUGGUGCCACCCAAGAAAGACUCCUGAGAACAGUCCGUACUUAUCACAAUUGCCAGACUCAAUUAAACUUCAGUUCAUAUGCCCGGCAUCGUUAGAACAGGAAGCUGCCCAUUUAUGUUAGGAUAUUUUAAUCUCAUUUGCUGCAAAUGAAAAAUAAGAGACAGAAGGAACCAACGACCAGGUUCUUGCUGUGCUGCAUCAUGAAACCAGGUUGUACAGAGUAAGAAAUGUAAGAUGUUUGCAGUACCUUCUGUCACAGAGGAUCCAACUGAAUAGAAGUUCCUCUUUUCUAUCACUCUGC
Long non-coding RNA from Cuculus canorus (common cuckoo), 767 nucleotides. RefSeq lists it as uncharacterized. The record is from RefSeq and is a predicted model, not a curated record. NCBI's taxonomy places the organism in Eukaryota, Metazoa, Chordata, Aves, Cuculiformes, Cuculidae. The transcript has 3 exons.